AUGAUGCAGCGACCUCUUCUGGACAUGUCCCCGAUGCGCCCCCCAGGCUUUGAAGCCUCGCCCACUCCGCCUCUCCAGUGCAACGGCAACCUGCAGCGAACCCCUUCGCCAACCCGUGCUUGCCUUGUUGAUGCUGGACAUGACCUGCCCGCUGGCUUGGCGGAGCUCGUUGUGCCCUGUCUAGAGCUUCCAGCAACGCUCUUCUGCUCAAAACAGCCGGCGCUCCUGCCGCUCACAUCUGUGCAACCUUCUGAAGCACCCAUGGCAUCACCGAGGCCAAGCCCUCCAGCAUCCCGUCGGAAGACCUUGGCAGGCAUGAGGAUCUCCAAGGAAGGCGAGAUCUCUCUGCAACAGAUCAGGCGCCCUUCCAACCGCACGCCGGCUGCCCCGGUUGCAAAGGUGGCUGAGCGCCUUGUUUUCGCAGCCUGGGCAUAA
RNAcentral lists this ribosomal RNA (435 nucleotides) under Triticum aestivum (bread wheat). Its description in RNAcentral is "partial small subunit ribosomal RNA". The record is from RNAcentral. Lineage: Eukaryota; Viridiplantae; Streptophyta; Magnoliopsida; Poales; Poaceae.